GGAUAGGACUAAGACAUGCUAGUCGAGUGACUCAGGCAAAACGAGUCACGGCACACAGCUCAGUAACACGUGGCUAAUCUGCCCUUGGGACUAGAACAACCCCGGGGAAACUGGGGCUAACUCUGGAUAGGUGAAGAACUCUGGAAUGAGUCUUUGCCUAAAUAGGUUCACGUUAUCCUCGUGAACUUGCCCAAGGAUGAGGCCGCGACCGAUCAGGUUGUUGGCGAGGUAAUGGCUCACCAAGCCUUUUACCCGGUGCGGGCCGUGGGAGCGGGAGCCCGGAGAUGGGCACUGAGACAAGGGCCCAGGCCCUACGGGGCGCAGCAGUCGCGAAAACUUUGCAAUACACGAAAGUGUGACAGGGCUAUCCCGAGUGCCAUCCGCUGAGGAAGGCUUUUACCCAGUCUAGAACGCUGGGGGAAUAAGGAGAGGGCAAGUCUGGUGUCAGCCGCCGCGGUAAUACCAGCUCUCCGAGUGGUGUGGAUGUUUAUUGGGCCUAAAGCAUCCGUAGCUGGCCAAGUUAGUCCCUUGUUAAAUCCACCGAAUUAAUCGUUGGAUCGCGGGGGAUACUGCUCGGCUAGGGGACGAGAGAGGCAGACGGUAUUUUCGGGGUAGGGGUAAAAUCCGUUGAUCCAUUGAAGACCACCAGUGGCGAAGGCGGCUUGCCAGAACGCACUCGACGGUGAGGGAUGAAAGCUGGGGGAGCAAACCGGAUUAGAUACCCGGGUAGUCCCAGCUGUAAACGAUGCAGACUCGGUGAUGAAUAGGCUUCGUGCCUAUUCAGUGCCGCAGGGAAGCCGUUAAGUCUGCCGCCUGGGGAGUACGGUCGCAAGACUGAAACUUAAAGGAAUUGGCGGGGGAGCACC
Molecule: ribosomal RNA, 866 nt
Filed under: uncultured archaeon
Lineage: Archaea
Description: bacterial SSU rRNA
Rfam family: Archaeal small subunit ribosomal RNA
Source: RNAcentral